This 465-nucleotide ribosomal RNA is filed under the name uncultured bacterium. RNAcentral describes it as "partial 16S ribosomal RNA". It matches the Rfam family "Bacterial small subunit ribosomal RNA", at positions 28 to 507 of the family's 1533-position model. The record is from RNAcentral.
GACGAACGCUGGCGGCGUGCUUAACACAUGCAAGUCGUACGGUAAGGCCCUUUCGUUGGUACACGAGUGGCGAACGGGUGAGUAACACGUGAGUAACCUGCCCACAACUUUGGGAUAACGCUAGGAAACUGGUGCUAAUACUGGAUAUGUGCCCCUUCUGCAUGGGGGGGGUUGGAAAGCUCCGGCGGUUGUGGAUGGACUCGCGGCCUAUCGGCUUGUUGGUGUGGUAGUGGCCUACCAAGGCGGCUACGGGUAGCCGGCCUGAGAGGGUGACCGGCCACAUUGGGACUGAGAUACGGCCCAGACUCCGAAGGGAGGGAGCAGUGGGGAAUAUUGCACAAUGGGCGCAAGCCUGAUGCAGCAGCGCCGCGUGCGGGAUGACGGCCUUCGGGUUGUAAACCGAUUUCAGAAGGGACGAAGCUUUUUGUGACGGUACCUGCAGAAGAAGCACCGGCUAACUACGUG